RNAcentral lists this ribosomal RNA (253 nucleotides) under uncultured bacterium. Its description in RNAcentral is "partial 16S ribosomal RNA". It matches the Rfam family "Bacterial small subunit ribosomal RNA", at positions 524 to 776 of the family's 1533-position model. The record is from RNAcentral.
UACGGAGGGGGCCAGCGUUGUCCGAAUUUACUGGGCGUAAAGCGCGCGUAGGCGGGUUCUUAAGUCCGCUGUGAAAGCCCGGAGCUCAACUCCGGAGGGUCGGUGGAUACUGCCAGUCUUGAAGGUGCUAGGGGGAGAUGGAAUUACCGGUGUAGCGGUGAAAUGCGUAGAUAUCGGUAGGAACACCAGUGGCGAAGGCGGUCUCCUGGGGCAUUCUUGACGCUGAGGCGCGAAAGCUGGGGGAGCAAACGGG